CGGAUUGUCGAAUCCUAGACGAAAACCCGCGAACGCGUUCGAAAAUCCGCGUCGGGCGUCCGGGUAAAAUCGGCGCCCCUCGCCCCACGCCCGGCCGGACGGGGCACCUAGACCGGCCGACCGGGCGACCGAAACAAAAAUCGGCGCGGGAAGCGCCAAGGACUCACGAAAUGGGAUGCCUUCCCGGGAGAGGGCCGUUCGCGGAAUCCUCGCCUCGGGGCUCCGAAGGCCCCGAAACGAAAUAUCACACGACUCUCGGCAACGGAUAUCUUGGCUCUCGCAUCGAUGAAGAACGUAGCAAACUGCG
RNAcentral lists this unclassified non-coding RNA (307 nucleotides) under Marsdenia dictyophylla. RNAcentral describes it as "sequence contains 18S rRNA gene, ITS1, 5.8S rRNA gene". The stretch from base 251 to 307 matches the Rfam family "5.8S ribosomal RNA", at positions 1 to 57 of the family's 154-position model. The record is from RNAcentral. Lineage: Eukaryota; Viridiplantae; Streptophyta; Magnoliopsida; Gentianales; Apocynaceae.